UGGCAGAGCCCUCCCUGCCCCGGGGCGGGAGAGAGGGAUGGGUUGGGAGCCUCCCUCCCAGACAGGAUGCAGGAAGGAGGGGGGAUGAGGAGCUGCUCUCCCUGCUGAGGUGCAGGAGGGGAUGGAGGUGGGUGAGGAUCCCCUCUCCCUGCCUUGGGUGCAGGAGGGAAGGGGGUGGAUUGGGAUCCCCUCUCCAGGUUCAGGAUGGGGUGGGGGUGAGGAGCUGCAGCUUUGGGUCUGCAGCAGGUUGCUUUAGAGAGAAAAAGGAGGGUCUGAAGUAAAGCCCAUUCUGCACCAUUGAAAUCUUGUGGAGUAACCACUGGAAAGGGAUGUCACUGUCCUGCAGGGAUGCUCAGCUGAUGUCCUUCUCCAACAUCCCUUGCUUUCCAUUUAUUUUUUUAUCCCCCCUCAGUUUUUUCCCUCCCUGUUCCACACCCAGCAAACGGAGAACUCCUGGAACGGUUUUGUUCAAGGCACAGCUCAGGAGGGGUUUGCUCUCCAGGAAGGUGCCCAGGGCAGAGCUGGGUGGGUCUGCACAUCUCCAGCACCACCACCCCUCCUAAAAACCCAAAACCCCACGCAGGGAGCAGGAUGAGGUGUUGAUCUUAUCCCUUGGGUGAUGUCCUGUGCUUUACACAUGUCUUGUGCUCUUCACACUCUUCCCCCAGGAGGGAUUUUGGCCGAGGCUCUGCUCUGGUGCUCGGGGUUCAUGGCAGGCCCAGCUCUGGGUCUGACCGUGCUGCUGGGCCGUGGAGGGUUUGGUUUUGGUCAGCCUCCCUUGGUUAGCCAGUUGUGUAUUAGAAACUGAACAUAUUAAAAUUGUCUUAAAGGAUAAUGUUCCUCAAUUAGUGGUUCUUUUGUUUUUGUUUUUGUUUUUUUUUUAAAUCCAUGGAUGAAAACUGUCACUUUAGCAUGUAGAGUCUCUUACAGAAUCCUGUGCAGUGAUUCUAGAAUUUUGAAACUGUAUGACGUGUUACAUUCACAAAUUUAUUUGCUAUCAACAUUCCCUUAAAAAAGAAAAAAAAAAGAUAAAGAAAACAACAUACCACAAGCUGCUGUAAUGAUUUUGUGUCAAGAUGAUCCAAUAAACUUUCAAAACAAAGUU
Molecule: long non-coding RNA, 1105 nt
Organism: Neopelma chrysocephalum (saffron-crested tyrant-manakin)
Lineage: Eukaryota; Metazoa; Chordata; Aves; Passeriformes; Pipridae
Exons: 2
Source: RefSeq, a predicted model, not a curated record